GUGUGUCUAGUGGCGAACGGGUGCGUAACACGUGGACAACAUUCCGAGAAGCGGGGGAUAGCCCAGGGAAACUUGGUUUAAUACCGCAUGUGGUUGAGUGUGGCAUCACACAACAACUAAAGGUGGGGACCGCAAGGCCUGCCACUUCUCGAUUGGUCCGCGGCCUAUCAGCUUGUUGGCGGGGUAAAGGCCCACCAAGGCGACGACGGGUAGCUGGUCUGAGAGGACGACCAGCCACACUGGAACUGAGACACGGUCCAGACACCUACGGGUGGCAGCAGUCGAGAAUCAUUCACAAUGGGGGAAACCCUGAUGGUGCGACGCCGCGUGGAGGAUAAGGUCUUCGGAUUGUAAACUCCUGUCAUGUGAGAGCAAGGUUACGAUUUUAAUACCUUCGGAGCUUGAUAGUAUCACAAGAGGAAGAGACGGCUAACUCUGUGCCAGCAGCCGCGGUAAUACAGAGGUCUCAAGCGUUGUUCGGAAUCACUGGGCGUAAAGGGUGCGUAGGCGGCUUGGUAAGUCAGAUGUGAAAGGUGGGGGCUCAACCUCCG
RNAcentral lists this ribosomal RNA (551 nucleotides) under uncultured Verrucomicrobiaceae bacterium. Its description in RNAcentral is "bacterial SSU rRNA". It matches the Rfam family "Bacterial small subunit ribosomal RNA", at positions 86 to 618 of the family's 1533-position model. Lineage: Bacteria; Pseudomonadati; Verrucomicrobiota; Verrucomicrobiia; Verrucomicrobiales; Verrucomicrobiaceae. The record is from RNAcentral.